AUGCCUGGCAGCGACUUCUCGCUUCUCCUUCCUCCUACCCCAUCGACCCUCUGCUGCCGACCUUUACGCCAAACUCCGGCGCGCCGCGAGACUCGCGUCCUCCCUGUCCCCGAGGGGCCCCACCCCUUCCCGGUUCUAACCUGCGACCUGGCCAGAGGCAAGGUGAAUGGGAAGAUGGAGAUGGAUGUUGAGGGAGUUUCUCCGCGCCCGGAGCCCAUCCCCCGCUCCCAGGGGGCUGGCGGAGCCUGCCAGGCGCCGCCACAGCCGCCCCAGCCCCAGCCGCCGCCGCAGCAGCUGGCUCAGGAUGAACUGCCCGGCGAGAGUGCAGGCGCUGAGGACAGCGACGAUCCCGAGACGAGACCCAACGGCGAGAAAGGAGAGAGCAAGUAUUUCAGUGACAUCAUCCACUCAGGAGAGUUGGGGCGAGGCUGGCUGAGGUUCUCAAGGAGCUGA
This 453-nucleotide long non-coding RNA is filed under the name Macaca mulatta (Rhesus monkey). RNAcentral's name for it is "lncRNA (ENSMMUG00000054962.1)". Lineage: Eukaryota; Metazoa; Chordata; Mammalia; Primates; Cercopithecidae. The record is from RNAcentral.